RNAcentral lists this ribosomal RNA (198 nucleotides) under uncultured bacterium. RNAcentral's name for it is "partial 16S ribosomal RNA". It matches the Rfam family "Bacterial small subunit ribosomal RNA", at positions 328 to 539 of the family's 1533-position model. The record is from RNAcentral.
ACGCUCGACACCUACGGGAGGAGCAGUUGGGAAUAUUGGACAAUGGAGGAAACUCUGAUCCAGUGACGCCGCGUGAAGGAAGAAGGUCUUCGGAUUGUAAACUUAUUUUGUCAGGGAAGAAAAAUGACUGUACCUGAAGAAAAAGCACCGGCUAACUACGUACCAGCAGCCGCGGUAAUCUGAGCGGGCUGGCAAGGC